GACGAACGCUGGCGGCGUGCUUAACACAUGCAAGUCGAACGGAAAGGCCCUGCUUGCAGGGUACUCGAGUGGCGAACGGGUGAGUAACACGUGGGUGAUCUGCCCUGCACUUCGGGAUAAGCCUGGGAAACUGGGUCUAAUACCGGCUAGGAGCCAUUUUUAGUGUGAUGGUUGGAAAGUUUUUUCGGUGUAGGAUGAGCUCGCGGCCUAUCAGCUUGUUGGUGGGGUAAUGGCCUACCAAGGCGGCGACGGGUAGCCGGCCUGAGAGGGUGGACGGCCACAGUGAGAAUGAGAUACGGCCCAGACUCCUGCGGGAGGCAGCAGUGGGGAAUAUUGCACAAUGGGCGCAGGCCUGAUGCAGCGACGCCGCGUGGGGGAUGACGGCCUUCGGGUUGAAAACUCCUUUCGCUAGGGACGAAGCUUUUUGUGACGGUACCUAGAUAAGAAGCACCGGCUAACUACGUG
This 465-nucleotide ribosomal RNA is filed under the name uncultured bacterium. RNAcentral's name for it is "partial 16S ribosomal RNA". It matches the Rfam family "Bacterial small subunit ribosomal RNA", at positions 28 to 507 of the family's 1533-position model. The record is from RNAcentral.